Molecule: ribosomal RNA, 465 nt
Filed under: uncultured bacterium
Lineage: Bacteria
Description: bacterial SSU rRNA
Rfam family: Bacterial small subunit ribosomal RNA
Source: RNAcentral
UUCCAGACUCCUACGGGAGGCAGCAGUGAGGAAUAUUGGUCAAUGGGCGCGAGCCUGAACCAGCCAAGUCGCGUGAGGGAAGACGGUCCUAUGGAUUGUAAACCUCUUUUGUCGGGGAGCAAAAGACGCCACGCGUGGCGUUCCGAGAGUACCCGAAGAAAAAGCAUCGGCUAACUCCGUGCCAGCAGCCGCGGUAAUACGGAGGAUGCGAGCGUUAUCCGGAUUUAUUGGGUUUAAAGGGUGCGCAGGCGGAUUUUUAAGUCAGCGGUAAAAUCGUGGGGCUCAACCCCUUCCAGCCGUUGAAACUGGGGAUCUAGAGUGUGCGAGAGGUAUGCGGAAUGCGUGGUGUAGCGGUGAAAUGCAUAGAUAUCACGCAGAACCCCGAUUGCGAAGGCAGCAUACCGGUGCACAACUGACGCUCAGGCACGAAAGCGUGGGUAUCGAACAGGAUUAGAUACCCUGGUA